GUUAUAGGGUCAAGCGAACAAGUGCAUGUGGUGGAUGCCUUGGCGAUCACAGGCGAUGAAGGACGCGGUAGCCUGCGAAAAGCUACGGGGAGCUGGCAAACAAGCUUUGAUCCGUAGAUGUCCGAAUGGGGAAACCCACUCCUUUUGGAGUAUCCAUGGCUGAAUACAUAGGCCAUGCGAAGCGAACGCGGUGAACUGAAACAUCUAAGUAACCGCAGGAAAAGAAAUCAACCGAGAUUCCCAAAGUAGUGGCGAGCGAAAUGGGAUGAGCCUUGUACUCUUUAUUUGUAUUGUUAGCCGAACGCUCUGGAAAGUGCGGCCAUAGCGGGUGAUAGCCCCGUAGGCGAAAACAGUAUGAAAGAACUAGGUGUACGACAAGUAGGGCGGGACACGUGAAAUCCUGUCUGAAGAUGGGGGGACCAUCCUCCAAGGCUAAAUACUCGUGAUCGACCGAUAGUGAACCAGUACCGUGAGGGAAAGGUGAAAAGAACCCCGGGAGGGGAGUGAAAUAGAUCCUGAAACCGCAUGCAUACAAACAGUCGGAGCCUCGUAAGGGGUGACGGCGUACCUUUUGUAUAAUGGGUCAGCGACUUACGUUCAGUAGCAAGCUUAACCGUAUAGGGCAGGCGUAGCGAAAGCGAGUCCGAAUAGGGCGUUCAGUUGCUGGGCGUAGACCCGAAACCAAGUGAUCUAUCCAUGGCCAGGAUGAAGGUGCGGUAACACGUACUGGAGGUCCGAACCCACUAACGUUGAAAAGUUAGGGGAUGAGCUGUGGAUAGGGGUGAAAGGCUAAACAAACUUGGAAAUAGCUGGUUCUCUCCGAAAACUAUUUAGGUAGUGCCUCGUGUCUCACCUUCGGGGGUAGAGCACUGUCAUGGUUGGGGGGUCUAUUGCAGAUUACCCCGCCAUAGCAAACUCCGAAUACCGAAGAGUGCAAUCACGGGAGACAGACAUCGGGUGCUAACGUCCGGUGUCAAGAGGGAAACAACCCA
RNAcentral lists this ribosomal RNA (992 nucleotides) under Escherichia coli. Its description in RNAcentral is "partial 23S ribosomal RNA". It matches the Rfam family "Bacterial large subunit ribosomal RNA", at positions 1 to 1029 of the family's 2925-position model. The record is from RNAcentral. Lineage: Bacteria; Pseudomonadati; Pseudomonadota; Gammaproteobacteria; Enterobacterales; Enterobacteriaceae.